Molecule: long non-coding RNA, 572 nt
Filed under: Gossypium barbadense (sea-island cotton)
Lineage: Eukaryota; Viridiplantae; Streptophyta; Magnoliopsida; Malvales; Malvaceae
Description: long non-coding RNA (GBAR_LNC004852)
Source: RNAcentral
AAAUUACAGGAUCAAAGUUUAAUAAAAAAAUACAAUAAGGUUAAAACACCUUAUUCUAAUCAAAUAUCAAAUAAAGGAAGUAAACUUCUAUAUAGAUUCCACUUGUGCAGCUCGCAAAUCUCCUAUAUUGCUACUUAUAUUUUAUUUUAACAGAAAUUUGAGUCACGCAACUCUAACACAUUUUAUCUUCACAAAACACAUAUAAUAACACAAAUCAAUCACAUUUCAUAAAGUAGAUAACAUGUAAUAUAAUUCUAAUACAUAUCUUUAAACAUGAAUGCAACUUAACCAUACUUUCUCACCCUUCACCACUUUUAACACCUCAACUUUAAAACCUAGCUUCUCCUUCGCAUUCUCCUUCAAAUCAACACUUCCUUUGAUGAGUAAUAAUCUUCCAGUGACAUAGUUGGUGAGGUCUAUCUAUGGUAUCAUGAAAACCUAAUAGAUUGAUGCAAGGAAAGGAUGGGAUGACAAGUUUUUCUGUACAAUUUCCUCUUGGUCAAAUGAUAAAAGAAGGGUCUUCUAAAAUGCUUGUUGUCACUCUAUCCUCUCUCUUGUCAUGUGAAUGUAAA